This is a non-coding RNA of Stegodyphus dumicola, 73 nucleotides long. Lineage: Eukaryota; Metazoa; Arthropoda; Arachnida; Araneae; Eresidae. The record is from the annotation of a RefSeq genome assembly.
GCCUUCGUGGUGUAGUGGUCUGCAUGCUGGGCUCGGAUUCCAGAGGUUCAUGGUUCGAUUCCAGGCGAAGGCG